ACGGGAGGCAGCAGUGGGGGAUAUUGCACAAUGGGCGCAAGCCUGAUGCAGCAACGCCGCGUGAGGGAAGAAGGUUUUCGGAUUGUAAACCUCUGUCCCCGGUGACGAAACAAAUGACUUUAGCCGGGGAGGAAGCCACGGCUAACUACGUGCCAGCAGCCGCGGUAAUACGUAGGUGGCAAGCGUUGUCCGGAAUUACUGGGUGUAAAGGGAGUGUAGGCGGGAAAGCAAGUCAGCGGUGAAAUACAUGGGCUUAACCCAUGGACUGCCGUUGAAACUGUUUUUCUUGAGUGAAGUAGAGGCAGGCGGAAUUCCGAGUGUAGCGGUGAAAUGCGUAGAUAUUCGGAGGAACACCAGUGGCGAAGGCGGCCUGCUGGGCUUUUACUGACGCUGAGGCUCGAAAGUGUGGGGAGCAAACAGGAUUAGAUACCCUGGUA
Molecule: ribosomal RNA, 437 nt
Filed under: uncultured Oscillospiraceae bacterium
Lineage: Bacteria; Bacillati; Bacillota; Clostridia; Eubacteriales; Oscillospiraceae
Description: partial 16S ribosomal RNA
Rfam family: Bacterial small subunit ribosomal RNA
Source: RNAcentral